Non-coding RNA from Prionailurus viverrinus (fishing cat), 1430 nucleotides. NCBI's taxonomy places the organism in Eukaryota, Metazoa, Chordata, Mammalia, Carnivora, Felidae. The record is from the annotation of a RefSeq genome assembly.
CUGGCUUUCCUGCUGUGCCUCUUUUCUGGUUCGUGUCCCAGGCCAGUCUCAGACUCUGCAACAGGACCGUGACUCCAGGGCCGGGUUUAGACCUAGGAUAUGAGGCAGAUGACAAGAGUGACUGUGCUCUUGCUCUUGGGUACUUUGAGCCUCGCUAAGACCACCCAGCCCGUAUUCAUCGAGUCCUACGAAGGACAAGAAGUGAACAUACCCUGUAACCACACCAAGAUCGCUACAAAUGAGUAUAUCCACUGGUACCGACAGUUCCCCAACCAGGGACCACAAUUUGUUAUUCAAGGAUAUAAGACAAACGUGGAAAAUGAAGUGGCAUCCCUGUUCAUCUCUGCGGACAGGACGUCCAGCACCCUGAGCCUGCCUCGGGCUGCCCUGAGAGACACUGCUGUGUAUUACUGCACCGGUGCGGGGACAAGUGGCAGAGCGCUCAAUUUUGGGAGUGGAACAAGACUCCAAGUGCAUCCAACUAUUCAGAACCCUGACCCUGCCGUGUACCAGCUGAAAAGCCCUGAAUUCAGUAACAUCUCUGUCUGCCUGUUCACUGAUUUUGAUUCGAAAGUCAAUGUGAAACCAUCCACAGAGUCCAACAUGAUUAGAUUGAAAAGUACUUCACUGGACAUGAAGACUAUGGAUUCCAAGAGCAACGGGGCCCUGGCCUGGAGCAACAGCUUUGAUUUGGGAUGCAACAGUACCUUCAACUACACCUUCCACUCCAGCUCAGAAUUUCCCUGCGAUGCCAAUGUGGUAGAGAAAGGCUUUGAAACAGAUAUGAACCUAAAUUUCUACAACCUGACAGUGAUCAUGCUCCGCAUCAUCUUCCUGAAGGUGGUUGGCUUUAACCUGCUCAUGACGCUGAGGCUGUGGUCCAGCUGAGGUCGCCAAGAAUGUGAGAGCCCAGCGCUCCCCUGCUCCUCCCACACCUUCUCCCCCUCUUCAAGAAGAGAGGCACACUCUCUGCCCCCAUGGAGAAUAAGGUCCCCUCCACCUCUCUGGUCCCACUGGCAACGCCACUGACCGAACCCUAGCAGACAUUUGUGAUCAAGAUGCUGAAGAGCUGCCAAACACCGCUGCCACACCCUCUGUCCCCUCAUCGCUGCUUGUCACUGCCUGACACUCCCGGCAAAGGAGCUGCUGCUGUGGCCUCACCUGGCUGGGGAGAAACUCCCCGGCCUUCCCCUGAGACUGCCCAUAUGUCCCCUGGAUGAGGGAUCCCCAGUGGGUCCUCUCGGGCUCUAGCUCCUGGAGAAUGUUGUGAGGAGUUUAUAUAUUUUAAAUUAUGUUCAUAAAGGAAUAACACAUCACACUUGUCCCCAAGAUGUGAGGAAAAUUAUUAUCUAGGCCCUGCUGUGCUGUGUAUCUGAGCCACAUUGUAUAUUCUGCUACCCAUGACUUCAUUAAAGGCGACUGAAAGAGCA